RNAcentral lists this long non-coding RNA (15232 nucleotides) under Mytilus galloprovincialis (Mediterranean mussel). The record is from RNAcentral. Lineage: Eukaryota; Metazoa; Mollusca; Bivalvia; Mytilida; Mytilidae.
CCUGUGAUUAUGACCCGUGUAUAUAGCAUAUGAAUCCUGAAUACACCGUUUGGUGGUGCGUCUGUCAGAUGCGGAACGUACAGAUAAGGUAAUAGGUAACAGGUGAAUAUACUAUAGGUAUCGGUAUCGGACUCGACCCUGAACUUCUUAAUUAUUGGCAAUAUUAAUUACGUGGAUAACAAAAGGGCUGGAGUGGUGUAUUUUUUAAUCUACACCUUUGUACUAUAUUAUUUAUAUAUAAAGUUGAAUUCUUUGAUUCGUUGUUUUUACGUGAUGACGGCUGACAAAUUGGACCUCGUUAUUUUAGUAUUAUAGAUAAGGCAUAACGAAAACAAUAUGUUUCUCUCUAACUAUCAUACUAUAUGAUAAUAGGCAAAAAUGAGAAAAAUGGUAAAAUUUGUCAUUAAUGGGCAAUUAUAACUCCUGUUAGAACAGUUUUGACGUAUAUGAACAAUUGGUCAUUAUUUUUUGCUUCUUUCAAAUUUUCUCUAUUCAUGAUGAUAAUUGUCCAGUAUUUUGGCAUAAUUGAUCACUUUAUGGUAAAAGCAGGAAACUUUGCACAUUGUUAGAUAUGAUGAUAAGAAAAAUUUUGGGAUAUGAAGCCAUCUGAAAAAAAUCUAUUAUGACCGCCAAAAUUCAAAAUGGCCGUCAUCUAAAAAUUUUCCAUAAGGGCUGCCAAACACAAAACUGCCCCCAAUAAUUAAGAGAUUCAUUCAAUAUAUUGGUAUAGAUAAUCAGUCUAUAGUUAAAGCAUAGACCUUUGAAAAGUUGUUGUUAAGAUGCUUAUCAACAUAUUUGGAAAUGGACCUAUCUUUAAAAAUCCAAAAUGGCUGUGAAAUUUAAAAUGGCCGCCAAUAGUUCGACUAAUAAUUCAAAAAAUCCUGAAUGCUGGGUCCAAACUGAAUCAGCCUGACCAAACAUUUUUCCAAAGAAAGCAUUUACUUGGGUACAGAAACUACUUAAGAAUUUUCAUAAAUGUCCACAUACAUACUAAAAUGUUCAUUAUUACCAUAACUUACACUGUGGAAAGUGUUAUUAUGCCUUAACUUUAAAGAGGUCAAUUCUACCAAUGUUUUGGAAUAAGACUCAUGACUGCAGGGCGGCAAUUAAAAAAUACAGCAUAUAGGAUUGAUAUGGCUUCAUAUUCAAAAGUAUUUUAGCAUCAUUACUAACAAUGUGCAAAGUUUCAUUUAAGACAGACAGCUAGAUAUCAUAAACAUACUAUGUAUACACAAGCCAGAGUCUGAGCUUGAUAUGCUAUAUGAUCAUGAUGAUAUAAAAACUAAACUGACGAAAAAAGGUCAUUUAUUCAAAAUCAUAAAAUGCAAAAAAUACAUUUUGCAAAUAAAACAUUUGACAUAAAAGUUCAUAUUUAAUAUGAAAUAAUAAUACAUAAUUAAUACGAAAUUACAUCAAACUAAUUCAUGUCAAUUGAAUAAAUGACAAAGAAUAGCAAAGGUGGGGAGAAAAAUCUGCCCCAUAAAUAAACAUAUAUACAUAUCUACUUCAAAAGAUAACAUUUAAGGGCGGUAUGUGGGUGGGAAUUUUGAACAAAUUGUUUGAUAAGAAUCACAAGUUAACACAUCAAAUGCUGAUGAUAAAAGGAAGUGACCACAAUACACUUACACGUGAACUCGUACUGACCCGCAAGAUCAUUGACCAAUAAGAAAGAUGCAUUGGUCAUAAGUGAAAUUUCUCCGACUCUGCACGUGAAAACAUGUUAUCUAAUUUCAACAAUUUAUCGUUUAAUUAAGUAGGACACUCUGACCCUUUGACCAGACUAGAGACAUCAUACAUUUACAGUAUUAAUAGCUCGCUCUUUUAUUUAAGUCGGUUAGUAAUAACCAAUUAAAACAGAAUUAUCUUCUUUGCGGUCUUAAAUUAUUUUAUUUCGCUUAAUUUCCAAUUAGCAAAUAAAAUUGGUUGUUUUACACCUAAGUGUUCGAUACUAGUAUAUUGGACUUAUAAAGUCUUAUUUACAAUAGUGCAGGUUUGAAUAACUCGUAUUUCAUUAACAGGAAAUUAACAGAAAGGAACAUAUACUCAUCAAUAAUAAUUCAUGUCAGCAAACAUGUGCUGACUACUAUAUUAGGGACAAAUGUUCACCAGCAGUGGCUACGAUCUAGUGGUAAAAACACAUCAAAGAUUGUAAGCAGGCUUAAUUUGAUAGUAUUUCCUUAAAUUUUUCGUAUCUACUGAACUCUUGCAUAUUAGUAGAUUUCAUGAUUUCUUUUUCAUGUAGUAAUCCCUGUACCUUAUGACAGCUAUCUUUAAUUUGGUGGCCAUUUUGGAUUUUGGAUUUUAUUUUUUUCCUUGCUCCAUAUCUCAAUUUUGUUUAUACCCCUUAACCUUUCAUUGUGCCAAGUGUCAUGCUUUUACUAUAAAGUGAUCAAUUAUUCUUAUAUCCACUGGACUAAGAGAAGAAGAAGUUGAUUGUACUAAAUUCUAUCAUAUGUUUUACUAUAAUUAUACCCAAUAAUCUUGAAAAGUUUAAAUGAAAACAUAAUCAACAUAUAGUUGUUUUAUUCUCAUCUAAUGAAAAUAUUUUUCAAAGGCCAACAAGGUAUUAUUUGACACUGGACAUGAGAUUUUAAACCUACUCUUUUCUAUUUUCAUAUCAAAAUAAAUCCUUAGAAGUGGAAAGAACUUCAAUUGGUUUUUAAUGAUAAGGGGUUUGAGCGUGUUAGCAAUAACAGCCGCAAUAACCUGUUACAAUACAAAAAGGAAAAGCUGUGUUAUUGACAGAAUGUGUCAAGCUUGUGACAGCAGCUUGUAUAUUUUUAAAAGAGUGAGUUAUUAUGAAUGAAAUAUUUGUCAAGCUCAUUUUAUCUUUGGGAUACCCUGAUGUUUAAUUUUUUUUCUGGACGCUAUUUGAAAUUUCGUCGGAGAACACUGACUUGAAUGUAUUUAUAUAUCAUGUAUAUAUUAUGGAAAGCCACAGAGGAAUAGUUUGACAUUUGAUUGCUUUCAGAUUUUUAUAUCUUUUGUCGAACGAAGUUGGGGAAGGGAUAUAGUGUUUCAUUUGUCCGUCACAAAGUUUAAUUCCAUCUAUCUGUGGAAUAUGGAAAGCCACAGUGAAACACUAUAUCCCUUCCCCAACUUCGUUCGACAAAAGAUAUAAAAAUCUUAGAGCAAACAAAUAUAAAAUUAUUCCUUCAUAAGUAUCAACAAACAGUCAUAAAAAUAGGAAUGUAGCUUUGUAUGAUAUUUAACCAUCAAUUCUGCUCAAACCAAUUCGAAGGGUUAACUUGAACUUACUACCAGUUAUAAGAAAUAUUGAUCAUCGUUGAAUGCCUCGUGGUGACUUGAAGAUGAAGGACAACAAUAAAAACGUUCCAUAUUCGGGUUUUACCACAUAGUGAUCAUGUUGGUAUUGAUUUUGUCUCGUGUACAUUUACUCCAUAUCCUUUCAUAUUUUCAUUGGGUAAACGACAGACUAAAAUACUGCUACAUACUACAACUAAAAAUCAGAAAGCUGCAAAUAUUCUCUUCGUAACAACUGACAAAUCCUUUACAAAAUGUUUUUAUUUGAAUCUGUUAGGUUGCAGAGAAAUUGCAAAGUAUUAACGAACACCAAUUGGUUAUUUGAGGGGAUCGAAAAUCACUUUCAGUUAUUGAAACAGGCGAUACAUUCCCCAUUUCCUUUCUCAAUUUUACCUAUUUAAAAAACCUCCCGAGAUCGUUUACGUUGAAAGUAAAGAUAUCUUUAUUAUAAUUAUGUUUUUAAAUGAUCAAAACUGUAUAUAUUAUAAUCAAAAUAGAAUAUACAAUAAUUAUAUUGAGAAAGCAAAAAAACACAAACUAUUAAUCAUUUCCAAUGUUCUAACGACGAGUUGUUAUAAGAACUUGGUACCUGGUUUCAUUUCUAAAAAUAACCUGGUUUGGGAAAUCCCCAAAUACGAGUCAAGCAUUAUGUUCAUAACAAAACAAUGAACAUUUCGUUGUUAUAAAUAUUUUGCAUCAUCUUCUUAUAUGAAAAUUAAUAAAAAAAAAAAAAAUGAAUUCACUUCAAUUAUCUAAAAUAUUUAAUUUUCAUAAACCGCGAAAAAUAAAAAUAUAGAUCCACAGAAACGCAUGUAACAAUCUCACAAGCAUUAGCCUUUCAAAAAGGGCUAAGUCGACUCUUAGCUGAUGAAAAUGGAAAGUGCUCUCGCUUUGUAGAUUUAUUCAUUUACUAGAAUAGCCACGUGCAUCAAUCAACAAAUUUUACCACACACGUGAGGUCACACGUUCUGAAGUAGUAUAUAUCGUUUAACGUUGUUGUUUACGAAACUCCAGAAGAUUCGACUAUUUAUAGAUAAAAGUUACAUGUGUACCAAUAUCAUGAAUAUGCAUGAUUAAUGACCAGGCAAAAUCUAAUUGCUAAAAUAGAGAGGACAAAUCCGAUACUCUACGGGAUUGAAGGACAUUUACUAGGUUUGGAUUGUCCUAACCAAUCAAUAAACUUUGAUUAUUCACGUCUCGUAAUAUCUUCCAAUCAGGUAGCAAGAAAAAAAUCACGCACUGACUGACCAUCGUUCAAUUCUUAAUAUCGACUCCUAGGAGUCGAUAAUAAUGGACCGGCUAAGUGCCGGUCCAUAAUGAACAUUGGCAAUUAAAAAUAUUCUUUAUGUUUGAUCAUGAUCAUUGAUCGUAAAAGAUAUAAUAAGUUAAAUGUAAGUUUACAAUGACGGCUCGUCUAGAACGAUAUAUGAAAAAGUUUUACGACGGCUUAUCGUAAUCAUCCUAUAUUUACAAAAUAAUAUUACUUUGGGAAUACGUUCAUGACAUUUUGGUGAAUCGUAAAUCGUUUGGCUUUUGCGAUCUGUCUGUGUAUUAAAAGACUUAAAGUUCUAUUUGAAAUUGUCUCAAUAAAAUCUCCAAUAUGUGUGAAGGUGUGAUUAACGCAAAUUAAAAAGACUUAAUUUUUCAUAAAAGAAAAAAAAAAUAUAAGACACAAAGCACAAAUUAAGGCAUAGAACAACAAUAUUGAACAUGUUGAAAAAAUAAAACUUAAAGGAACUGUAGAGGUCUCCACAGGUUUUCAACAAGGGUAGAAUUCAAAACCUUCAAUAUGAAAGCCUCGAAAUCCAUGAUACUUUACUGUGCGGUAGUUAUAUCUACAAAAUCCAAUCAUGUACACGACAUAUAAUACAUGUAUAUUCAUACAUGUAUAUUUAUAUAUUGGGAAUUUUUUUUUGUUUCCAAACAGAAUUAUAAGGUUAUGUAUAAGUGCCUCCGUUCACUGCACAAUUGUAAAUUGUCUUCCUAAAGACAAGCAAAAAUAAAUGGCACAAGUUCACGUAGUCAUAAAAAAAGUCGUAUAAUUUACGUUAUUGAACAAAAAAUCACAAAUGCGGAAUAUCAUAUGUGAAUGAUUAGGAAAUCCGUUUCCCCUGCAUGUUUUAAAAGUCAAAGAAAAAUGUUUACCUGAUACAAACGUUUUAAGAACCAGCUUUGUGUAACCUAUUAUAGACAAAUUCGACUGGAUAUAAGGAAGUUAAUAUGUUUACUCUGAUUUGAAAUUAUCUUUUAGAACUUUUUUUAGUAAUUGAGAACCUAUGUUGUUUAUGGGUAAUAGGUGAAAUAUUGCAUGAUCCCUCAAAAUGACAGCAAGCGCAGUUUUCCGGACGAUUUUCAUUUGUACAUGCACUGCUAAAAACUGUCAGGUGCCCAUGGUAUAUUUUGGAGAAUGUUUUUUUUACUGAUUUUUACUAAAAAAAAAUUCUCUGUGUGUGCCAUUGCAAGAAAUAGUUUUACUCGUUAUUUUGUCAUAUUAAAAAAAGUUCCCGUUUAAACUGUACUAGAAAAAAGUUUGGCAUGUGAAAUGGACGAAGACAUAUUCUAACAGAAGUACAAAUACCAGUCCUCCCUUUUCUGUAUACAUAUGAGAAAACAUUUCAAAGUUAUUGAUUGAAUUCAAAUCCAUCACACAUACGGUUCACAUUGUAGUCCGAAAAAAUAAAGGACUUCAUUCCUAUCAAACACCUUUUUAAUUGUUUACCAGUAUAUUUCUUUUAGUUUUGGGUAAAAUUGUAAAGGAAAUAAUACUAUCAAGACGUCCUUCCAUUCUUUUUUUUUCUGUUCUGACUUUGAAGAAAUGACUACUUUUCCAAUCGAAAUGGUGCAUGGACAUAUUUUGUUUCAUAUUAUUAGAAUUAUUUUCAAAAUUAUCGGUAUUAAACUUGAUUAUCGACACAUGAAAGUUUGUCAGCAUUGUCAAUCUUUUUAACGUUAAUGUACCAAUAGGUCGGUCACUACUCAUAAGUUUGUCGAUAACGUACAUUUAGCUACUUUUGACGGUAAAGAAACAUCAAUUCGAUCACUUCUCUGUUACGGGCUGUUAUAUGAUAGGAACGACAUGAACAAAAACGAAAUGAUGUACAUAUUACAAAAAUACACAUCUAUAAGACGAUCAAAAAGUAAGAAAACUUCAGUAUCAUAAUUAUAAGCCAUUGUAUUGUCUCUUGUUCCACUGCUUGAAUAAAAUCAUACUCGGGUUCAUAUUUAUUCCGCAGCAAUAUUCCCCCCUAAAAAAAACCCACAUAAUUACUAGCCAUGAAGCAGUUAAAUUUAAUAUCCUAUGUAAAUUAUAAAAUCAUAUUAGAUUGGAAUCUCAAGGCAUUUCUGCUUGUGUGUUAUACUUUGCAUUUACCAAACAAGGAAAGCUAGAAAAAAAUUGAUAGUGCGCGUUUCCAGUUUAACGUCAUUUUUCUGUUACACUAUUUGGUAGCAAUAUAUGACGUUGCGUCAUCUGCAAACAACAUGUGAAGCAUCCAGGGGCCUGUUUAUCGAAACUGUCCUAAGUUCCGUCCUAAGAAUUUCUUAGGACAGAAUUUAGGAUAAAGUUAGGACCGACUUACGACACGUCUCAGCAUGCACAUCGAAGCUAUCUUAGGAAUAUCUUAGCUAGGACCUCCUAACCGAUGUCUUAAGUAUUGGCAGAAAGAAAAUACAAAUUAGAUAUGAAAAAUUACAAUAUGAUAUCAUAUUUUAUCAAUAAUUUUGUUUUUUCAAAUAUAGUUAAUUAGAAACUAAUUAUUAGUGUUACAUUAAAGAUAAUAAAUGAUUAUUGUAUAAUAUUUGUACAUUUAAACUGUACAAAACAAAACAUAAGACAAACAUAAUAACUACGUAUUAUAUAAAAAUUUAACAAACUAAUUGUAAACUAUAUAUAUAAUCGGUAAAAAUCAUUACAUGUUUUUGAGUGAGUUGAAUUCGAAGUGUCAAUGUUUCAAUAUUUAACAGUCCAAAGACAAAUCUCGUGCAUUUUUCAUAUAAAUCCGGAAUAUUUCAACUAUUUUACUACUGGUAAAAACAACAAUACGUGUGAAAAUGAUCAAAAGGCGAAAUUGAAUAUAUCCUAAAGUUAGGACCAUUCUUAGACCAUCUUAAGAUACUUAAAUUGGUAUCCUAAAGUUAAGACAAUUCCUAGGAUUUUCCUAAGUUGAGACAUGUUUGAUAAACCCACUUAGGACUAAGAUGUGUCCUAAGUUGGUCUUAAACACGUCCUAAUCCUUAGAAAUCUUUGAUAAACAGGCCCAAGGUCUUCAACCUUCUAAAAUAUCCAGCUUUAUACAAUAGGUUAUGCCGACGCCGUCAGAUAGUAAUUCCUAUGGCAUAUUGCUUCGCAGGCCAGACAAUAACAAAAACGCAACUUAACUUUUAUUUUAUUAUAUGUUUUUUAAUUUUUUUUUGGGAGUUGGCUGUUAAAAUAUAACAAAGAUUGUUUAUUUUUUUAGUUUCCAUAUUAUACGAAUUGCUAUUUACUGUAAUUAAAGAUUAGCUUUUUACAGCAUAAAUAUACGGAUUGCUUCGACAGAGUUUUAAUCUAAGACUGAUCUGUUCUGUUUCUAAAAAUCGAUUAAAAGAAAGACAUUUUACGUGCAACAGCCCUGUUAUCCAUUGGUUGUCGUCGGUUGCUAUCUGUCGUUUUUCGUGUAUUGUUUCAGUAUUAAAAGGUUUGGUCUUUUUUUCUCAUUGUUUUACAGUUUGCCAUACCGAAAACUUUGAAAGAUUACUGUGGUCUAUAGAUUGGACCGUUGGUUUUCCCGUUUGAAUGGUUUUACACUAGUAAUUUUUAGGGCCCUUUAUAGCUUGCUGUUCGGUGUGAGCCACGGCUCCGUGUUGAAAGCCGUACCUUAACCUAUAAUGGUUUACUUAAUAAAUUGUUAUUUGGGUGGAGAGAUGUCUCGUUGGCACUCAUACCACAUCUUCCUAUAUCUAUCUAUGGAUUUAUUCAUUGACGAAGACCGUGCAACAACCUGUAUAUCACAUCCUUAUUCUUAUUGUCUCAUUGUCAAUCAUACCAAAACCUCCUUAUUUUUACAUUUCGGUAGUAUAUAUUCUGUGAGAUUUUAACUUAUUUUCACUCACUUGAAGUCAUUGGUCUUUUCCAUACGAUAUUCACUGUGCUUAAACGGCUGUGGGUAACUUAAGUUACCCACAGCCCAAGAUGGCGGACUCUAAACUCGUUGAUAUUUAAUUCAUACAAAAUGUACCUUUUGCGACGUUUUUCAUGCAGAAUGUAAAUAUUUUUAGGAUUAUUGAACAAAGAAAUGACUAAAUUACCAUAAAUUUGUUAAUAUAGAGUUCACUAAAGCGCAAGGUCAACUUUAAAAAAUGCAUAAGAUGUCCGUAACUUUUUGAUCGAAACUAAGCAGACUGUCCGUAACUUUAUUUUUAGAUGUUGGUAACUUUUGAUUUAAAAUUUUAAGAAUUAUAAUUUCAACAAUUAGAAGACAAUUAACAUCAUAUUUGUAACCUUCGCGGCCGUUUAUACUACUACUCAUUCACACCAAAUGUGAUUUUAUUAACGCAUCAUCAUACUUACACCACAGAAGUUUUAUGUGGGGUUUGUGGUACUCCAUCCUGGUUAUGGUUUGAACUUUUAUUUACUGAUGUGCGUCUUAUCGACGUUUUUCGCUUGUCAGACCAAGGCUUUUCCAUACUUUUUAAUGUUUUGAGUUUAAUUAUAUGUUUGCGGUUUACCUUCACCUCUGUUUCUUUCUAUGUGUAUUUUUGAUGAAUACUCUUUGACGCGGCUCGGUAUUUAUACAUCCCACCAGUUAGUUAUAGUGUUAUGAUUUUUUGAAUAUAUGUUUCCUAGUAUGUUUUUUUUUCUCUCUUUGUAUGUUAUCUUGUUGAGACUAUUAAAUUACCCCUGUUGUCCUACGUAGUUAUUAUAUUUUUAUAUAUUUAUGUCAAAUUGUUACACUAUGUUGACUGCUCUUUUUUCUUUAUUGUCACUGACUUUUACCCUAUUGUGUCUUUUAGUUUUAUUCAGUUUAAUGAGAUUUAAUGCAACUUGCAUACAAAUGAAAUAUGCAGCUGCUGUAAAACUAGGUUUAUUCAUUUAUACAAAAUGUCCUUUUUUUAAAUUUUCCCAUUUACUGUAAAUCUUGGUUUUUGUGGGGAUGAGAGAAAAGUGUUUUUGGCUUUUUCAAAAAGACGGAAAAAGUUUGUGCACUUAAGUCUCGUAUAGUCUAUCCACUGCAUGCCUGGGCAAUUUGGGUUCCCCUCCAAAAUCCAAAAUCCCGGAUUCACGCUACCCUUGUCGUUGCUGGCAGAAAAUCAGUAAGUGUAUACAUGCUACAUUUAUGUGUAAAAAAUACUUGUGUAGUCUACUUGUUCAAAAAUAAAAACGAACAAUGAUAUGUUUCAACAGUUUAUCAUACUGCUAUGAUCGGAAACAACCCUCCGAACUUGGCGAUUCGGAUACCCCGACGUUAUACAAAAUGAGACCCGAGUUUUGCGGAUUUAUCGUUAUUUUUUUCAUAUUUUUCCCAAUUUUGUCUUCCAUCGAUCAUAUAAUGAAUAUAUCAUACUAGACAUCUACUUCGUUUUGUGAAUAUGUAUUCGAUGCAAUCUCUAUCAUCAGUUUAAACAUUACAUCCGCGUAUGCCGAUUCUUUGAAAGUUACGGACAUCUCUAUUGGUAUGAUGAAAAUUAUACGGACAAGUUGUUUUGAAGUUACGGACAGCCUAAGUGUUUUUUAAAAUCGUGCUGUGAUCGUUUAUUUUGUAGAAUUUAAUCACCUUUCCAGUUUAGGGGUUUCCCUAAACGAUCAAUACAACUUUUAAAUUCAGUUGUUUAAUUGAUGCAUUCGUGGUAUUGUUAUUCUAUAGAAGAAAAGUAUCUAACCGACGCAAGGCGGCUCCAUCUUGGGCUGUGGGUAACUUAAGUUACCCACAGCCGUUUAAGCACAGUGGAUAUUGACGUUACGCACGAUAUUGCGUCUCAAAUGGUUAACGUCAAUUUUGUACGAUUUACGGCGAUUAAUGAUUAUUUAUUUUUAAAGCUUACAAUUUUUGUUUUGCACAACAAUAUGGAUACUUCUUAAUGAUUAGUUGUACUGAAUAUGCAUGAAAUAUUUCCCACUGAAAGUAACGUAAGCAACAAACAACAAAAUAUAUCGUAUUUGCGUAAUGCAUAAAUCUAUAUGAAAUGAGAAGAUAUACUAGUACAUGGUAUGACAACUUUUUCACAACUUAAGAACAUCAUCUAAACGAACAACCCCAGUCAUUGGAUUUUUUUAUGCUUUGUAGUAUUGUUGAUAGUAUCUGACUAUCAAGAAAAUUCUAUCUGAGGAAAUAUAUACAGAUGAUCCACCAUAAAUUGCGUCCCGAAUCGACAACGUUGAAAACGUAUGAAAAUCGUCCAGUGGACAAACUUUCAAGACAUUUCAUUUCUUUGAAAACGAAGUCGUUUUGACUACGCUUUAUCAAAAAGUAUGUAGCUGUUUUGUAGAGUUAAAGUACAAUUACGGAAAAGCACUAUUUUGCAUACGACAAAUCAAAAUUUUAAAAGAAAUAACGUUGCAAAUGAAUGACAUUUUAUAUCGGCGAAAUCCGACAUUGGACAUCUUGCAAGACAUUUGUCAGAAGCCGUUGCAUUUUUAUAUAUGGUGUGAGUGCUGCAAAAAUUCGAUUUUGAUAUGGUCUAUCUACACUGGGGUAAAGCUGAUGACCGUAACUGCAUUCACGGUCAUCCCAAGAUGUCGGAUGAAAAAUUAGGUCAGUUUCUGUAUUGUCUGUUAAAGUGUUUCUAUAUCAUUUUCUUUGCAAAUCAUACAUUGAAACGAUGUAAAUUUAUAAAAGAAUCACUCGGAAAUCACUAAUUACUACCGAGAAAUGUGCAUGAAACGGGAAAUUCGAUUUGAAAAAAUCGUUCAGAUGACCGUAAAUCAUAAUCAAAAUAUUUUCAAGAUGACCGUAACAUAAAACAAGGAUGACCGUGAUUGGUAAAAAGAUGACCGUAACUUGUAAUGGAUGACCGUAAUUUGUAAAGACUGACUGUAAUUUAUAUAGGACGACCGUAACUUUUAUAGGAUGACCAUCAAUUCUAAGAAAUAUCCGUAUUGUAUUCAAAGCUUUUUUGUCGAGUUUGUCGAUAUCAAUAGGGGAUCGGUUAGCGGAUAUGAAUAUGUUUCAUACAUUUUUUUUUAAACUAUAAUAUAAUUGGCCGUAUUUUGGAUUUAUGACAAUGAUAGUAAAUUGCAUAUUUCUCGUAAAUAAUGAAAUAUUUAUUGAUAACAACUUAAAAAUUUUAACACAAAUUGACAGCGAUACGACGAAAAUUUGAAGAAACAUGAAUGUGUCCCUAGUACACGGAUGCCUCAUCUACACUAUCAUUUUCUAUGUUUAUUGGACUGUGAAAAAUGGGAUAAAACUGUAAUUUUGGCAUUAGAAUUAAAAAAGAUCAUACCAUAGGGAAAAUGUGUACUAAGUUUCAAUUUUAUUUAACUUGAAGCUGGACAAACGGACAAACAAACAGACGAACAGACGAACGUACGCACAGAAACAGAAAAACAUAAUGCCAAUAAAUGGAGCAUUAAAAACAUUAAUAAUACAUACGAAUAUUUGGUAAUCGAGUCUGUGUAUGGUUCCAGAGGGCAGAUUAAAAUCUUAAUUUUUCUUGAUAUAUGCAGGCGCAAACACUUUUGAAAUAGAACAAAAGAAUCGAAGCUCUUUGUUUAUCGAGAAAGCGAUAAAUGCUUACUGUAAUGUUUGAUAUAGUAACAAAAUUUAAAAAAGUUAAUAGAAACAAAAAAAACGACAAUUUUCUUCUCAAUUACGAAGUGUUUUACUUUAAAAACACCAUUUGCAUAAGUUUUCAAUUUAUCUAUUACAUAAUAAUGCAAAACAAUAGGAUAUCUAGUCGACGACAUGGGUAUCUAUAAGUUGGAUGUAGAAAAUGCAUAAUCUCCGAUUUUUUUUUUACCACGGACGGAGAACAUAUCAAUCUUUUAGUUCAGAAAUAUUCGUGUCUGCCCUUCCAUUAUGUGAAUCAAGAAAAAAUUCGCCAAAAUAGGUAACGAUUGUAUCGAAAAGAGAAAAUCGAGUGCACCUUUUUAUGUUAGGGCAUGUUUGGGGUGUAUAUUUUGUCUUAAAAACGUACAAAGCAAGAGUAUUUGAUAUAGCAUCUGGCUUCAGAUUCUAUCAUUUUUAUAUAUCAAAGCUACAGGUUGACUUUAUAACGUAAAAAAAUGACAGUACGAAAAGAUGAAAUAUAUGGGUCAAGUGAAAUACCUAUCUAAUGAAUCACAACAAUGAACAGACAAUAUUUUUUAAGUUCAAUCAAUGCAGACAAGAUCAUUAACUGAUGCUCAUUAGCUAGUAGAUACAUUUGUCUUUUAAAAUAUAACUGACAUAUAACGAUCGAUCGUAAUGGUGCUAUGUGGAUAAAUUUAUCAGUUUUCAAGAGCAAAAUUGGCAGAGAGUCAUCCCUACAGUGGCUUCCAUUUCUACGAUUGUGACAAUGAACUGGCGUAAUAGGGAGAUAAUUUUGAAGAAGUAGAAUCCUGACUAUAUGAAUAACAUUUCUGUAUAUAUACAAAUAACCAACAACGUUCCCCCUUGUGAUACGCUAUUCGUACAAAAAUAUUUUAAGGAUCUACUUUGCUGGAGCUCACCUUCACUACUUUAGUCGUAUGAUAUUUUCAAAAUAUUUCUGUUAUUUUAUUUGCACGACAAAAUGACGACGAUAUAAUAUCAAUUGAUGUACAUACAUUGGCAUUUUAAAAAAUGUGUAUUUAUUAUAUGUCAUUAAAAGGAAUCCCAGAAAUAAAAAAAAAAUCUUUUGUCGAGCAGUUGGAUGGAGGCUGUGCACCGCAUUUUUUCAUUAUACUUGUAAAGUGUCAUUUUAUCGCGCUUUUGUAGCAUGUUUGCCCUACCUGUUCAUUUGCAUGUCUUUUGGCAAAUUCAUUUAAAAAUAAAUUAAACCCUCUACUGUAAAAAAAGAUACAUAUGGUAAUCUUUGCAUUUGAAGCACGUCUUAUUUUCUUCUACCUAUAGGAUAAUACUCUCAUAUUAAUAUGUUUAUACCAACACGAUUAAUCAUUUGAUACAAAAAGGUAGUUAUAUAAACACGGAUAUUUCUUAGAAUUGAGGGUCAUCCUUUAAAAGUUACGGUCAUCAUUUACAAAUUACGGUCAUCUUAAAAGCAAUUACGGUCAGCCUUGUUAUGAAUCGCUGAUUCUGUUACGGUCAUCUCGAUUGUGAUUUACGGUCAUCUGAGCGAUUUUUUUCAAAUCGAAUUUCCCGUUUCAUGCACAUUUCUCGGAAGUAAUUAGUGAUUUCCGAGUGAUUCUUUAUAAAUUUACAUCGUUUCAAUGUAUGAUUUGUAAAGAAAAUGAUAUAGAAACACUUUAACAGACAAUACAGAAACUGACCUAAUUUUUCAUCCGACAUCUUGGGAUGACCGUGAAUGCAGUUACGGUCAUCAGCUUUACCCCAGUGAUCUAUGUACUUUUGUAAGCAUUAUUUACACAAACGAAGUUUCAUAUAAACUUAUAUUUUAAAACAUAUAAAUUUUGACAACUUAAUAUUUUCCUAAAUCUUACCACAAUGAACACUAUUUGUUUUGGCCAAAAAAUAGCGUUGGUCGUUACAGGAACGCAUAUUAAGUAAUAUUGUAAUACUUUAUAAAUAAAGCAUAUCAUUCUUUCGGAUUUUUGUGGAUAUAACACUGGUUUGAAAAACACAAACGCCCCUGCUAAAGUUAUUAUGCGUAUAGUCAGUUACGUCUGACACGCAUAUUUUCGACGUUUUGUCAAUAUGUUGUCCUUAAUUUAGACUAUUGUAAAAUAUGAUAAAACAAUUUGUACUUUUUUUGGAAUAGUAUUUACCUGUCUAUUCUAUGGAUAUCAAUUGUAUAUAAAUUAACUGUUAUGAUUUUACAGAAAAUCUGUUUAUCAGGGUAGACUGGUUGAUUACACGGUUUUAACGCAAUGACCUCUUAAAUAUACAAUAACAAAUGUUUAUUUCAUAUUUUGACCCGAUAUUAUUACUUACUAAAUUAGGGGGGAUCCAUAAAUUAGGGGGGACCAUUCCUCAAAGCGCCUGUGAUGUUAGUUGAUGAGAAACAUUUGCCUGGACUGGUAUUCUCACAUUUGGUGCUUUGAUUUUCUUUUUUGUUAAUUAGCAUUUCAUUUGCGCCAAUACAUUAUUCAAUUAAACAAAAACCCAAUGUUCGCCAAUAAUACUUGUAAAUAGUAUAUAAUAAUAAUAAUAAUAACUAGAACACACCCGUGAUAUCACGGGUCCGUGACUGAAUUAAAGAAUAUAACUAUGCGCAAGCAUUAUUUUAGUAUUAGUAUUGUCAUCUGAUAAAGUCAUGCCGAUUAUAAGAUACACAGUUUUCUCUGCUUUCAAAUCUUUCUGUUUGAACCCGUCGAACUGGAACUUAAUUAUCAAUUAUUGGUAAUAUUAAUUAUUUGGAAAACAAAAGGUCCUGGAAUGGAGUAUUUUUUAAUCAACAGCAUUGUCCUAUAUUAGUUAUAAAUAAAGUUGAAUUCUUUGAUUCGCUGUUUUACGUCAUGCCCGCUAACAAAUUGAAAACUGUACCUAUACGCCUUAUUUUAGUCCAGAUUUUUAGUAUUCGUAUUGUUAUCUUAGAAAGUCUUACUGAUUAAAAUACUACAAUUAUAGGUAACAAUUCGACAUUUUAGUAGUGUCAACCCUGUGAUUAUGACCCGUGUAUAUAUCAUAUUAAUCAUGAAUACACCGUUUGUUGGUGCGCCUGUCAGAUGCGGAACGUACAAAUAAGGUAAUAGGUAACAGGUGAAUAUACUAUUGGUAUCGGUAUCGGACUCGACCCGGAACUUCUUAAUUAUUGUCAAUAUUAAUUACGUUGAAAACAAAAGGGCCUGGAGUGGUGUAAUUUUUAAUCUACACCUUUGUACUAUAUUAGUUAUAUAUAAAGUUGAAUUCUUUGAUUCGUCGUUUUUACGUGAUGACGGCUGACAAAUUGG